This 774-nucleotide ribosomal RNA is filed under the name uncultured Neocallimastigales. RNAcentral describes it as "partial large subunit ribosomal RNA". It matches the Rfam family "Eukaryotic large subunit ribosomal RNA", at positions 26 to 644 of the family's 3401-position model. Lineage: Eukaryota; Fungi; Neocallimastigomycota; Neocallimastigomycetes; Neocallimastigales. The record is from RNAcentral.
CGCAUCUGUGCAUGCAGCAUAUCAAUAAGCGGAGGAAAAGAAACUAACAAGGAUUCCCCUAGUAACGGCGAGUGAAGCGGGAAGAGCUCAAAUUUGAAAUCUUAAAGGGUUUCCCUUUACGUAUUGUAGUUUAAAGAAGUGUUUUCUGUUGAGGUUUUGGUAAAAGUUCUUUGGAAUAGGACAUCAUAGAGGGUGAGAAUCCCGUAUUUGACCUUUACUUUCAACUUUGUGAUACACUUUCAAAGAGUCGGAUUGUUUGGGAAUGCAGUCCAAAAUGGGUGGUAAAUUUCAUCUAAAGCUAAAUAUUGGCGAGAGACCGAUAGCGAACAAGUACCGUGAGGGAAAGAUGAAAAGAACUUUGAAAAGAGAGUUAAACAGUACGUGAAAUUGUCAAAAGGGAAGCGUUUGACACCAGUGUUGUUUUUCUGAAAAUCAAUUAAAGAACUGUUUAUGCUAAGCUGUUUAGACUUUAUCAGCUAUCUGUUUAGUUUUGAGCUUUUCUUUAAUGCACUUUUCAGUUAACAAGUCAACAUCAAUUUCUUUUGCUGUAAAAAAGCUUGAGGAAGGUGGCUUGAGAUUCGUCUUAAGUGUUUAUAGCCUCUUGCCUAUGCAGUCGGAGAGAUUGAGGUCUGCAGCGUAGAUCCUUCGGGGCUAAAUGCAUUUGUGCUAAGUUAUAGCAUUUUAUAGACAACUUGUUGACUAUGAUUUGUCUUGUAGCUUACUCGCUUAUGUUAUUUUACCUACGCUUAGGAUGUUGAAUCUGUGCGAGACUAC